RNAcentral lists this ribosomal RNA (164 nucleotides) under Sabulina aucheriana. RNAcentral describes it as "5.8S ribosomal RNA". It matches the Rfam family "5.8S ribosomal RNA". From Rfam's summary of the family: 5.8S ribosomal RNA (5.8S rRNA) is a component of the large subunit of the eukaryotic ribosome. It is transcribed by RNA polymerase I as part of the 45S precursor that also contains 18S and 28S rRNA. The record is from RNAcentral. Lineage: Eukaryota; Viridiplantae; Streptophyta; Magnoliopsida; Caryophyllales; Caryophyllaceae.
UAAACGACUUUCGGCAACGGAUAUCUNGGCUCUCGCAUCGAUGAAGAACGUAGCGAAAUGCGAUACUUGGUGUGAAUUGCAGAAUCCCGUGAACCAUCGAGUCUUUGAACGCAAGUUGCGCCCGAAGCCUUCGGGCUAAGGGCACGUCUGCCUGGGCGUCACGC